GAGAGCCGGAUGCGGGAAAUCCGCCAGUCCGGUUCGGAGGGAGGGGAAGCGCAAAUCAAUGCGCUUUCCCUACCCCUAU
Lentisphaerae bacterium GWF2_50_93 is the source of this 79-nucleotide non-coding RNA. The record is from Rfam. NCBI's taxonomy places the organism in Bacteria, Pseudomonadati, Lentisphaerota.